GUGGAUUAGAUACCCUGGUAGUCCACGCUGUAAACGAUGAGUGCUAAGUGUUAGAGGGUUUCCGCCCUUUAGUGCUGAAGUUAACGCAUUAAGCACUCCGCCUGGGGAGUACGGUCGCAAGACUGAAACUCAAAGGAAUUGACGGGGGCCCGCACAAGUGGUGGAGCAUGUGGUUUAAUUCGAAGCAACGCGAAGAACCUUACCAGGUCUUGACAUCCUCUGACAACCCUAGAGAUAGGGCUUUCCCUUCGGGGACAGAGUGACAGGUGGUGCACGGUCGUCGUCAACU
RNAcentral lists this ribosomal RNA (289 nucleotides) under uncultured bacterium. Its description in RNAcentral is "partial 16S ribosomal RNA". It matches the Rfam family "Bacterial small subunit ribosomal RNA", at positions 773 to 1060 of the family's 1533-position model. The record is from RNAcentral.